AUGAUGGCGCUAAUUAGCGCCACAAAAAAUUAACAUUCAAGGAGUAU
Molecule: non-coding RNA, 47 nt
Organism: Shewanella woodyi ATCC 51908
Lineage: Bacteria; Pseudomonadati; Pseudomonadota; Gammaproteobacteria; Alteromonadales; Shewanellaceae
Source: Rfam